AUAGAGUUCAGUGGUAGAGUGCUUGGUUACCAUCAUGAGACCCUGGGUUCAAUUCCCAGUAU
This 62-nucleotide transfer RNA is filed under the name Ictidomys tridecemlineatus (thirteen-lined ground squirrel). Its description in RNAcentral is "Spermophilus tridecemlineatus (thirteen-lined ground squirrel) tRNA". Lineage: Eukaryota; Metazoa; Chordata; Mammalia; Rodentia; Sciuridae. The record is from Rfam by way of RNAcentral.